CGGAGGCAGCAGUAAGGAAUAUUGGGCAAUGGGCGCAAGCCUGACCCAGCAACGCCGCGUGAGGGAAGAAGGCCUUCGGGUUGUAAACCUCUGUCCUUAGGGACGAAAAAAAUGACGGUACCUAAGGAGGAAGCUCCGGCUAACUACGUGCCAGCAGCCGCGGUAAUACGUAGGGAGCAAGCGUUGUCCGGAAUUACUGGGCGUAAAGGGUGCGUAGGUGGCCAGGCAAGUCAGAUGUGAAAUCCCCGGGCUUAACUCGGGUGCUGCAUUUGAAACUGCAUGGCUUGAGUGCAGGAGAGGAAAGCGGAAUUCCUAGUGUAGCGGUGAAAUGCGUAGAUAUUAGGAGGAACACCAGUGGCGAAGGCGGCUUUCUGGACUGUAACUGACACUGAGGCACGAAAGCGUGGGGAGCAAACAGGAUUAGAUACCCGCGUAGUCCA
RNAcentral lists this ribosomal RNA (440 nucleotides) under uncultured bacterium. RNAcentral's name for it is "bacterial SSU rRNA". It matches the Rfam family "Bacterial small subunit ribosomal RNA", at positions 343 to 797 of the family's 1533-position model. The record is from RNAcentral.